GCAAGUCGAGCGGUAACACAAGGGAGCUUGCUCCUGAGGUGACGAGCGGCGGACGGGUGAGUAAUGCCUAGGUAUCUGCCCAGUCGAGGGGGAUAACAGUUGGAAACGACUGCUAAUACCGCAUACGCCCUACGGGGGAAAAGAGGGGACCUUCGGGCCUUCUGCGAUUGGAUGUACCUAGGUGGGAUUAGCUAGUUGGUGAGGUAAUGGCUCACCAAGACUACGAUCAGUAGCCGACCUGAGAGGGUGAUC
RNAcentral lists this ribosomal RNA (252 nucleotides) under uncultured bacterium. RNAcentral describes it as "partial 16S ribosomal RNA". It matches the Rfam family "Bacterial small subunit ribosomal RNA", at positions 57 to 305 of the family's 1533-position model. The record is from RNAcentral.